RNAcentral lists this ribosomal RNA (404 nucleotides) under Fusobacteriota bacterium. Its description in RNAcentral is "Fusobacteria bacterium partial 16S ribosomal RNA". It matches the Rfam family "Bacterial small subunit ribosomal RNA", at positions 355 to 776 of the family's 1533-position model. The record is from RNAcentral. Lineage: Bacteria; Fusobacteriati; Fusobacteriota.
UGGGGAAUAUUGCACAAUGGAGGGAACUCUGAUGCAGCGACGCCGCGUGAGUGAUGAAGGAAUUCGUUUCGUAAAACUCUGUUCUAUGGGAAGAAAAGGACUGUACCAUAGGAGAAAGCUCCGGCUAAAUACGUGCCAGCAGCCGCGGUAAUACGUAUGGAGCGAGCGUUGUCCGGAAUUAUUGGGCGUAAAGGGUGCGCAGGCGGCUUUACAAGUUGGAUGUGAAAUAUUGUGGCUCAACCACAAACGUGCAUCCAAAACUGCAAAGCUUGAGUUAAGGAGAGGUAAGUGGAAUUCCAGGUGUAGCGGUGGAAUGCGUAGAUAUCAGGAGGAAUACCGGUGGCGAAGGGGACUUACUGGACUUAAACUGACGCUCAGGCACGAAAGGGUGGGGAGCAAACAGG